GUGGAGCGAAAUGAGAAAGAAGAACAGGCUCAGGGAGACGGACUAGCUGGGGUCUAGACACCUCUUGACCAGUUCCUUACUGGGCGAUCUAGAAGACACCCAACCUCUGGGGGAGGCAGCUAGAAUGACAGCAUGUCAAGUGGGAGAAGGCACAAAUGACAGAUGGACCAGAUCACAGUCGCUUCCAAUGCACAGUUGAUUAAUAGUCUUUGUUUUUAAUGUGUGUUGUGUGCCUCUGGCCCACGCUGUGCUGUAGGUCAAAAAGUGGAUACAUUUUAGCCCUGCCCUAAGAGCACCCCAAGAAUGAUGCUCUCUGUACCUUACAGACGAGGACACGGAGGCUCCAGCAAUGACAUGAACACCCCAUAGGAGGGUUUGCGGGCAGAGGUAGUUACCCAAGAAAGGCUUAACCGGAGGACUCAUCUGUGCCCUUCCCUGGUGGGCCUGAGAUCAGUGUCCUCAGCCCCUGCUUUUUCCCAGACACCUGCUCGUCCUGCCAUUCACCUCCAAGUCCCAUCAGGCCCCCAAAGCGUUCCAGAGAGCCGGGCACUGUUCAAGACUGUGAAGGCUUCACAUCAAAAGAAAGCUUAGAACACUGAUGAAAUAUAAGCCAGCAGCGUAUUGAUCAUCUGAAAUUAUUGUGCCCUUGCUGUGACGAAACUGGAGGCCAGAGAUGUUGAGUGGCUUGUCCAGGAUCACAGCUGGGUCCGGCUCGGUCUGUCUGCCUCUAGAGCCCCCCUCCCUCCCACUGCUGAGGAAGUUUGGCUCAACCUCCCUGCCUCUCUCUCGCCUGCUGUGUGACCCUGGGCGGAGGGGUUUUCACGGAUACUGCAGGAGAGGGACUCUUGGGCACAACCUAACAUUUCUGGCACAGACACGCUGGGAUGCUAGGAUUCCAGAUACGAAGAUUCUGUGUUGUAGAUGGAAUCUCUGGUUUUAACAUAACAUACUACUAAGUUAUCAUUAUUGUGGCUUUCUAUGAUUCAGUAAUUGUAGGAUUCUAGGAUUACAUCAGUCUACAAUUCCAUUAUCCUGUGAUUCCAAGAUCCUAGAAUUCUAAGUUCCCCUGAGAGCCUGGGCUCUAAAGAAUAGGAAAAUCCAGUUGGGAGGGUAAAGAGGCAGCUUUUCCAUCGACUUUUCUAACAAUGACAGAGCAAUGUGUGGUUUUCAUUGUGUUCGAAGGAAAGCAGUGGGCUUGGCUAAGCCACACCAGAGCCUCAGAGUAGAUGGCGAAUGGAUUCGUGGCGGCUGGGGAUUGGGGACGGGCACGCUGGAUGGCAGGAAUCUGGCAGCACAGGUGGGACCACCAGGGCCCCAGCAGGGUGGGGACAGUGAGGGCUGGAAGGGACCACAGAGGGCCGGUGUGUGGGCAGAGGGUGUGGCUCAAAGGAGUAGCAUGAGAGGGACCCUCGUGGCGAGGGAUAGUUCUGCACCUUGCUCGACUGCAGUGGCGGCUGUGUGAAUCACUGCAUGUGUGAUAAAAUGACACAGAGGCAUAUACACACGUUGUACCCGAGUGUGUAUCCUGGCUUUGAUAUUGUCCUCUAAUUAUCUAAGAUGUGACUGUCGAUGGAAACAGGGUGAGGGGCACACAGGACUUUUCUGUACUAUCUUUACAACUCCUUAUAAACCUAUAAUUAUUUCAAAAUAAAGGUUCUUAAAGACUCAAGUGGCCGUACUGUGCCAGUCUAUUUGCAGACUCUUUUCGGUCCUGUCGAUGUAUGUCUGUCCUACCUUCAGCUCCAGAAGUCUUCAAUCAAGGCUGGAGGCCACCAGAGGAUGCAUACUCUCCUGGGACCCAUGUCAAACAGAUUGUCCCACAGGCCAGGCAGCUGCUCGCCUGACAGGGGACCCAUUUGAACCUAAACUUCCACCGAAACCAACAACAAAAAACUAUCAAGUGCAGCUACACACCACUCUGGUGACAGUGGUCUUGUUACCACUGGUUUGGGUGCUUUCAUUCAUUUGCAGUCUGGAGGCCCAAACUCCCCAAACAAACUAUCGUUUCAGCCAAACAUGGUAUUAACAAAUCCUGAAGCCCACAUCAAACCCAAGUGGGCACCUGCUGGGAAAGGAAAUCCCAAUCCCACAUCCCAGGAGACACUGUCCUGGCCCAGAAGCUCAUCCCUGGAGAUGACAUCGCCUCAGAUGACAUCACCCCAACCCAAGACCUCAUCGUUGGAGCUGACCUCACCCCUGCACUGGAGACAACUUCAUCCGAGACACUCAGAAACCUCUAUACAUUCAAAUCCCUCCGGUAAUAACCAAGACCUCCUGCCUCUCACUCCACGCCGCCUGUCCAUUCUGGGUGGACCCCUUUUGCACUGAUCUCUGUGCUGGCCACACUGGUGCUGGGCAGCUUCUGGCCACUCAGCAGGGCUCUCAGCCUUCCCCAAAUGCCUCCUGUCUGUCUGCAUUCCACAUAGCUGGGCCUCCUAGUGCCCACCUCUCUGACUCCUGGACCUGGGUCACCAGACUUGUUGGGGUCCAAAGCAGAUGGCCACAGAACCUUUUGGCCACUUCUACCCUCCAUGUGAAGUGGUGUAUUCUCCUACAAGAAGAUGGGACAGAGCUUAUCUGAGAGGACUUCACCCAGGUCUACAGCAACUGCUCAUUUGUCCCAGCCCAUCUGUCUCUUGGAAAUGACCUGACUCAACUAUACAGCGAUUCUGUAAAGGUACCAGAGUCUGAACAUGAUGGAUAAUCCCACCCUACCCGUGCCACUCUUUUAAGGAGACUUACUGGGAACAAAGCUGGGGAAGCAGCUCUACUGGUGAAAUUUUAGCCACUGGGGCAGGCCAGAGGAGAAGACACUUUUUAGCCUAACAAGUCACCAAUACUCCUGAAAUCACUUAAUAGCUAUAUGUCAGUCAUGGGCAGGACUUCAAAGCACAUCUCCACCCAUGAUCUCAUUGAAAUCUUCCAACACAUUUUAACAAAAGCAGACAUGAAUUUUCCUACCUCAUGGAGACUGAGGCCCAGGGAUCUGUAGGAACUCGUGCACUGUCCUGCAACAAAUAUGGAUUAGUGAUGGGGAUAGGGAAAAACCAUGGGUGGAUGGACCCAGAUCAAAAUCACGGUCCUGGAUGGUUCUGAACUAGUCACUUCACCUUGCUGGGCCUCUUCCUCUGUAAAACGAGGGUAGUGAUGCCCAUGUCACAGGGCUGUUUGGUGGAUCAAAUCAGAAUAUGUUUGUAAAAUACUUGACUUGUUUCCUGGUUGCUUUGGAAGGACUGUCGUUCUGAGAACCCAGCUUCCCUCAGAGCAUCUACACUUGCUACUUAGGUAGCUGGCUAGAGUAGGAGGGGACUGGGAAACCCCUGUGCCUUCCAGUUCUGCUAAUGAGAACUCCUGGCAGCCAGGUGACCAGUGAUGUCACGCUGGAGGUCACCAGAUGCCCUCCUCUCACACUGGUCACGGCUGGGCCCCAGGACUUAGUUCUGUGCCCAGGGUGCAGCAGCCUCUUCUAAGGGCUGCCUCUCUCUCUCCAUGGCUGGGCCUUAGCAUCCUGCUCCAGCUGAUGUCACAAUCCAGCUUCAAGUCCCUGCAGAUUGUGGUCCCUCAGCCCUUGCAUAUAGAUCCUGGACCUGCUGUAGGGUCCAAGAUAAGUUUUUAAAACUCUCUGAGCCUCAGUUCCCUUACCAUUAGAAUAGGAAGUAUAAAACUUAGCUUCACGGUUGUGAGAUUUAAAUGAGAGAAUACAUGGAGAAUGACUUAGCUCAGUAACUGGAACAUUAUAAGCACUAAAGUGUUAUCAUUGACGACUGGGCACUCAGUGAAGUUUUGCUGAAUGGAUGAACAUCCCUGUACCCAUCCCUGUUAGGUCACCCUUUUACAGAAGAGGAAAACUGAAGGCCAGGCAAAGGAAAUGACUGGCUCGCACUAGUGGCUAGGAUCUUGAAUGUUCAGAAGUCAAAUCUCUGGCCCAAUCUUUCCCAGUCUUUGUUCCUUCCAAGGAGGCCCUUUCUGAUUGGAUUCUGGGGAUACUUUUGGUCUCUCUGCCCAUUUGACAAAUCCCAGAGAGUGUCUGGAUCCACCCACACAGCUGUGAAUGGACAGAGGAGAGUAGACACAAGUCCUGGUCCUGUUCCAGCUCGUCCCCAAUUCUGGAUGUUCCAGAAGCCACACCCUGUCCCCAAGCCUCUCUUGAAACCUUGGCAGCUUUAUUUGCAAAGGGGAGGAGAAGGGGGUCUGGGGUCAGCUAGGGAAUAACAGGGGGAGGAAGAAAGCAGGUCAGGGAGGGAUGGAGAACACCCCAUGUGACCUCAGCCAUAGCCCAUGAGCACUAGCUGUCCUCCCAGACUGUAGAUAGCCAGCGAGAACUGGCAUGCAGCCUCGACUCUGUUCUGAAUCUGCAGGGUGACCUUGGGUAAACCAUUUCUCCUUUCUGGGCCUCGGUUUCCCUGUCUGUGAAAUGGGGAGUUGAACUAGGGCAGGGGUCCUCUGUCCACUGGUAGGAAGCAGGGUUUCCAGAAUGAAGCCUGUGACCUCCCUGCCCUGUGGGCCCCCGCCCUCCUGCAAGUGUCCAGGAAUUUGGCCGUGGCAUUUCAUUUAUCAUCCUAUGGUUCACAGGUACUGUGGCCGGCAGGCUGAUUACUCAACAGGCUCAUUACACUCCUCAGUGACUAACAGACUCUUUUUCUGUUUGUGUUCUAAAGCCAUAGCAAUAACACUGGCUCUCAAUAACUCCACUGAAAUCACUAUUAUUCAGCCUGCCCCUACCUACAUGAUAAACAGAGCAGCAGAAACAGCCUUCCUUAGAAAAAGAGGCCUCUGCUUCGCUCACGGUGGGACAGUCUGUUUGGUAAUGAAGCUGUGUGUGUCGGGGGUGGGGUGGAUUUAUGAACUGUUGAGAAUCAUAGCAUUAGGUCACUUCUCUGGUGCCUUCCAGCUCUGACCUACACAUUGGACUUCACCAAAGGGAGGGGUGGAACAGAUACCAUCUUCCCUCUGAAAGUUUGAGUGAGGGGUUAAGAGCCUGGCUGGAAGUCAGAGAGUCUGGCUUUUGGUCCUGGCUCCACCACUUGCUAGCUGGGUGACCUGGGACAAGUCAGAUCCUCUCUCUGGGCUUGGCUUCCUACCUUAAAAAUGGGGAAAAUGAGAUGACCUCCCCCUGGAGGUGGGAGGUGGAGAGAAGGAAGUAAUGCACGAGAAGCACUUGGCACAGGGUGGGGCUCCAGUGCUGGGCGUGUUACUGUCACGUAAAUGCAGCCGAGCCCCUGGGCCACAGGCUGGAGCUCCACAGGAUGGGGAGGGAGGGACUGACACCAGGGGGGACUGGAGACUUGGUGGGGGGUUAAAACCUCCAGGAGGGCAAGUCAAGGGCUGGUCGCUGUCAAAGCCACCUGGCCUCUCCUUUCCUGGCCAGUUUUAUAUGUCAAAACUACAAGGAACAAAAUAAUAAUAUAAUAAUA
Molecule: non-coding RNA, 5414 nt
Organism: Microcebus murinus (gray mouse lemur)
Lineage: Eukaryota; Metazoa; Chordata; Mammalia; Primates; Cheirogaleidae
Source: RefSeq, a predicted model, not a curated record